This 393-nucleotide ribosomal RNA is filed under the name uncultured bacterium. RNAcentral's name for it is "partial 16S ribosomal RNA". It matches the Rfam family "Bacterial small subunit ribosomal RNA", at positions 523 to 918 of the family's 1533-position model. The record is from RNAcentral.
AUACGGAGGAUCCGAGCGUUAUCCGGAUUUAUUGGGUUUAAAGGGAGCGUAGGCGGACUAUUAAGUCAGCUGUGAAAGUUUGCGGCUCAACCGUAAAAUUGCAGUUGAUACUGGUCGUCUUGAGUGCAGUAGAGGUAGGCGGAAUUCGUGGUGUAGCGGUUAAAUGCUUAGAUAUCACGAAGAACUCCGAUUGCGAAGGCAGCUUACUGGACUGUAACUGACGCUGAUGCUCGAAAGUGUGGGUAUCAAACAGGAUUAGAUACCCUGGUAGUCCACACAGUAAACGAUGAAUACUCGCUGUUUGCGAUAUACGGCAAGCGGCCAAGCGAAAGCAUUAAGUAUUCCACCUGGGGAGUACGCCGGCAACGGUGAAACUCAAAGGAAUUGGCGGGG